AGUGGGUCACACCCGUUCCCUUUCCGAACACGGCAGUUAAGCCACUGAUCGCCGAUGGUACUUGGUCUUCGGAUCUGGGAGAGUAGGUCGACGCCGGAU
RNAcentral lists this ribosomal RNA (99 nucleotides) under Fibrobacter sp. Lineage: Bacteria; Pseudomonadati; Fibrobacterota; Fibrobacteria; Fibrobacterales; Fibrobacteraceae. The record is from RNAcentral.